RNAcentral lists this ribosomal RNA (429 nucleotides) under Verrucomicrobiota bacterium. RNAcentral's name for it is "Verrucomicrobia bacterium partial 16S ribosomal RNA". It matches the Rfam family "Bacterial small subunit ribosomal RNA", at positions 355 to 776 of the family's 1533-position model. Lineage: Bacteria; Pseudomonadati; Verrucomicrobiota. The record is from RNAcentral.
UAGGGAAUCUUCCGCAAUGGACGAAAGUCUGACGGAGCAACGCCGCGUGAGUGAAGAAGGAUUUCGGUUCGUAAAACUCUGUUGUUAGGGAAGAAAAAAUGUAUAGUAACUAUAUACAAAAGAGACGGUACCUAACCAGAAAGCCACGGCUAACUACGUGCCAGCAGCCGCGGUAAUACGUAGGUGGCAAGCGUUGUCCGGAAUUAUUGGGCGUAAAGCGCGCGCAGGUGGUUUAGAAAGUCUGAUGUGAAAGCCCACGGCUCAACCGUGGAGGGUCAUUGGAAACUAAUAAACUUGAGUGCAGGAGAGAAAAGUGGAAUUCCUAGUGUAGCGGUGAAAUGCGUAGAGAUUAGGAGGAACACCGGUGGCGAAAGCGGCUUUUUGGCCCGCAACUGACACUGAGGCGCGAAAGCGUGGGGAGCAAACAGG